RNAcentral lists this ribosomal RNA (255 nucleotides) under Amphritea pacifica. RNAcentral's name for it is "Amphritea sp. ZJ14W partial 16S ribosomal RNA". It matches the Rfam family "Bacterial small subunit ribosomal RNA", at positions 328 to 575 of the family's 1533-position model. The record is from RNAcentral. Lineage: Bacteria; Pseudomonadati; Pseudomonadota; Gammaproteobacteria; Oceanospirillales; Oceanospirillaceae.
GGCCCAGACUCCUACGGGAGGCAGCAGUGGGGAAUAUUGCACAAUGGGCGAAAGCCUGAUGCAGCCAUGCCGCGUGUGUGAAGAAGGCCUUAGGGUUGUAAAGCACUUUCAGCAGUGAGGAAAGGUUACAGAUUAAUACUCUGUAGCUGUGACGUUAACUGCAGAAGAAGGACCGGCUAACUCCGUGCCAGCAGCCGCGGUAAUACGGAGGGUCCGAGCGUUAAUCGGAAUUACUGGGCGUAAAGCGCGCGUAGG